Molecule: non-coding RNA, 28 nt
Filed under: Cricetulus griseus (Chinese hamster)
Lineage: Eukaryota; Metazoa; Chordata; Mammalia; Rodentia; Cricetidae
Source: RNAcentral
CAGAAUAGACAUCAUGCAGAGCUCCCAG